RNAcentral lists this ribosomal RNA (410 nucleotides) under uncultured bacterium. RNAcentral describes it as "partial 16S ribosomal RNA". It matches the Rfam family "Bacterial small subunit ribosomal RNA", at positions 355 to 755 of the family's 1533-position model. The record is from RNAcentral.
UGGGGAAUUUUGGACAAUGGGCGAAAGCCUGAUCCAGCAAUGCCGCGUGUGAAGAAGGCCUUCGGGUUGUAAAGCACUUUUUGUCCGGAAAGAAAUCCUUGGCUCUAAUACAGUCGGGGGGAUGACGGUACCAGGAAGAAUAAGCACCGGCUAACUACGUGCCAGCAGCCGCGGUAAUACGUAGGGGUGCAAGCGUUAAUCGGAAUUACUGGGCGUAAAGCGUGCGCAGGCGGUUUGCUAAGACCGAUGUGAAAUCCCCGGGCUCAACCUGGGAACUGCAUUGGUGACUGGCAGGCUAGAGUAUGCAGAGGGGGGUAGAAUUCCCACGUGUAGCGAGUGAAAUGCGUAGAGAUGUGGAGGAAUACCGAUGGCGAAGGCAGCCCCCUGGCCAAUACUGACCGCUCUGCACG